CGGGUACAGUGAUGGAUGGCUUAGUGGAUAUUGGUGCCCUUGUGUACAUAAACACCAUGGCACAAUUAAAUAAUCAUGUACCACUUUUCCUUCCCCUCUGAAGUCGCUGCAUACUAAUGUAGAUGAUUUUACAUAGGGCUUCUGCUUCAUUUGCUGAAGAGCUGAAAAACAUACUGGGAAAGGAGAACUGUGCCAGCUCAAGGUCAUAUGAACUGAAGAAUCCACAUCAGCGCAUGUCCUCUGGGCAUCACCAGCACAACAGCUCCCAGUUGUGAUGCAUAAGGAUGAGAAAUGACAGAAAUGAAGAAACCUAAAUGCAGAAAUACCGCAGGAGGUUACCUUUGAAUUAUUUCCAACCACAUGCUCUAUUUCACGACUCCAACAAACCCACUCCUAUUUCCUCCUCUGCAUUAAGGUGAUUGAAAACAACAGAAAGAUUGAAUUUGCCUUUCCUGCAUCUAGCCAGAAAAUAAAAUUUUGGGGGUAAGUUCUCCUGAACAAGCCCUUUUUCAAGCAUGAAAAAUACAUUAAGGGGAAAAAAAAGGAAUUACAUUCUGUACAAAUCCAGGUAUACAGCUCUUAUCAGGUAAGGGAACUAACAAAUGUCACAUUCCACAGAAGCUUGCCUCACUGGAAAUGGGAUUGAUGGUGGUUUUGAUGACUAGGUAAAGAAAGAAAACAUCUCGCUGAACAGAAAGUACUUUCCCAUGGAAAGCUGGAAUAGUACUAUUUUGAGUAAUGCCCUACUUAAACACAGGGACACCCUCACUCUGUCACUCACACAAACGUGAUUUGCAUGUUUGGUGGCUUGUAAUUCAGUCUCAGACUACAGUAACACCUUAUAAAAGAUGAUUCAUAAGAUUAUUAUAUUUGCACAUUUCCCUAUUACUGACAGUGAAGGCUUCCGUGGGCCACCAGUCUCAGGACUACAGCCACUGCAGGACAGCAUGACCAACAAACCAAAAAGGUCCCAACAUCUAUUGAUGUUAUUCCUAUUUGAAUGUGGAGCACAGCAGAGACUGCUGGGACUCCUGCCUUUGUGUCAUGGGAGGUUUUCAUUUUCUGAUGAGGAAAACAGGUUUUCUCCUGAAAAGGAGAGGUUUUAAGAUUUUAUAUCCACAGAAGACAAUGGAAUCGCCCAAGCUGAAGAACAGAG
Neopsephotus bourkii (Bourke's parrot) is the source of this 1156-nucleotide long non-coding RNA. RefSeq lists it as uncharacterized. The record is from RefSeq and is a predicted model, not a curated record. The transcript is spliced from 2 exons. NCBI's taxonomy places the organism in Eukaryota, Metazoa, Chordata, Aves, Psittaciformes, Psittacidae.